Molecule: unclassified non-coding RNA, 400 nt
Filed under: soil metagenome
Description: partial contains 5.8S ribosomal RNA, internal transcribed spacer 2, and large subunit ribosomal RNA
Rfam family: 5.8S ribosomal RNA (bases 1-122)
Source: RNAcentral
GAUGAAGAACGUAGCGAAAUGCGAUACUUGGUGUGAAUUGCAGAAUCCCGUGAACCAUCGAGUCUUUGAACGCAAGUUGCGCCUCAAGCCAUUAGGUUGAGGGCACGUCUGCCUGGGCGUCACAUAUCGUUGCCUGAUGCCAGUUUCCUCGUGAUGGGUGACUGUGCAGGGCGAAUGAUGGCUUCCCGUGAGCAUUGUUGCCUCAUGGUUGGUUGAAAAUUGAGUCCUUGGUAGGGAGCGCCGUGAUAGAUGGUGGUUGAGUGACGAACGAGACCCAAUCAUGUGAGACCCCUACCGAAUUUGGCCUUCAUGACCCACAUGCGUCUUUGGAACGCUCAUGACGAGACCCCAGGUCAGGCGGGGCUACCCGCUGAGUUUAAGCAUAUCAAUAAGCGGAGGA